UUAUUACUUUGACUACUUUGAUUUAUCUACUUAUUUUUUUAAACAAAAAAUAACAUUCAUCUCUUUGUCGCAGGAAUCUAUUACUAUCGGUUUAGGGUUUAGGCAUCGCCAUCGAAGGCGGUGGAGGAAGAGGGAAAGGGAAAGGGUGAGAAGGGCGGGGAAGGGCGAGAGAGGGCGAGAGAGGCAUCGUCGUUGGAGACGGUGGAGAAGGGUCGGAGAGGGAAAAAAAAAGAGUCGCAGCGCGGCCUCGGUGGGGUCGAAGGCGAGGAAGGCGGGGGGUGCGCGAACGAGGGCGAAUGCAUGAGGGUGAGAGGCGCUGUGGGUCGUUUCCGCCUCCGCCUCCACCUCCGCUGCCUACUUUGGUGAGAUAAAAAAAUGAAUGAGAGGAAAAAAAAAAAAAGGAGAGAGAAAAAGUAAUAAGGGUAUUUUGGUCAGUUUGCUGAAAAUUCGAACCGAAUCUGCAAAAUCGAAAAAGACGGUCCACUUUUACAAAAGCUCAAAAUUUAUAGAUUAUUUAUACAAAUUGGCCAAAAAAGAAAGUUGAAAUUAAUUUUUUGUCGAGUUUGAGCUUUACAGUGCGCGCUCGAAUUAGCCCGGCUCGAAAAGAUCAAAAAUAUAUAUGCAUUAAAAAUAUUUAUAAAAUAUAUAUAUAUAUAUAUAGAGAGAGAGAGAGAGAGAGAGAGAGAGAGAGAGAGAGAGUUUUGAUAGAAUACUAUCGGUAGUAAACGGCUCGGUUUACUACCGAUUUGUUUUCGAUUAUAGAGCUUCCAAAUUGAUGAUCGACACCGUUAAACAUGAUCUACACAUUUUCGAUAUUGUUCUCUUGUUCAUCAAGUGAACAGAAAAAUGAAUGGCUGGAAAUGAAUAUCCUUCAAAAAGUGAUGAUACAAUUUUUAUAUUUGAGAUCUAGAGUCUAGAUUUUAUUUUAAAUAGUUUAAAGA
This 941-nucleotide long non-coding RNA is filed under the name Ananas comosus (pineapple). RNAcentral's name for it is "long non-coding RNA (ACOM_LNC030488)". Lineage: Eukaryota; Viridiplantae; Streptophyta; Magnoliopsida; Poales; Bromeliaceae. The record is from RNAcentral.